GAAGAGGAAAAAUAACAACAACAUCGACAUGGCUGCCGACAGUGACCCCGAGUCCGAGGUGUUCGAGAUCACCGACUUCACCACCGCGUCCGAGUGGGAACGGUUUGUGUCCAAAGUGGAGGAGGUGCUGAAUGACUGGAAGCUGAUUGGGAGCUGUGCAGGGAGCUCCACGCCAGAGAAGGGCGAGUUCACCAGUGGCACCUGGGGGGAGAAGUCUCAGGAUAUCCAAUUUGCCGACUUUAAGUUCCACAUCAUUCAUUACUUCCUGAAACAAGAGCGUGAGCAGGACAAGGGGACGGACGAGCUGGAGGAAGAUGCAUUCCCCCUGGCAAUGCAGGACCUUCUGUGUAUGAACAAUGACUUCCCUCCCCGAGCCCACUGUCUUGUCAGAUGGUAUGGCAUCCGAGAGUUUGUGGUCCUGUCCCCCGGAGCCAACUGCGAGGCGAUCAUCAGCGAGUCCAAAUGCAACCUGCUCCUCAGCUCCAUCUCCAUUUCUCUGGCCAACAGCGGCAGCCAAGUGCCCAUAUUUGUGCAGAUCCAGCAGAAGUGGAGGCGGGUGUAUGCCGGGGAGUGCCAGGGUCCAGGUGUACGCACAGACUUUGAGAUGGUCCACCUGCGCAAGGUGCCGAGCCAGUACAACCACCUGUCUGGCCUGCUCGACAUCUUCAAGUCCAAGAUCGGCUGUACCCUGUCCCCUCUGCCUCCCAUCAACAUCGCCAUCCGCUUCACCUACAUCCUCCAGGACUGGCAGCAGUAUGCGUGGCCUCAGCAGCCUCCAGACUUUGACACACUCCUCGGAGGCGAGGUGGGCGGGGUGGAGUUUGGGAAGCUUCCGUUUGGAGCCUGCGAAGAGCCAAUCAGUGAGCUUCAUCUGGCCACCACCUGGUCCCACCUGACAGAAGGCAUCGUUGUGGAUAAUGACGUGUACAGUGACCUGGACCCACUCCAAGCUCCUCACUGGUCCGUCCGAGUCCGCUCAGCUGAAAACCCCCAGUGUCUUCUGGGUGACUUGCUGACGGAGUUCUUUAAGCUCUGCUGCAGGAAGGAGUCCACAGAAGAGGUACUGGGAAGAGGAUCGGCAGAAGAGGAGGGCAAAGACAGCAGCGACAUCAGCUCUGCUCUGUCCAAGCUGACGGAGCCGUCGGCUGCCGUGCCCAUCUCCAAACUGUCGGUGUCCAACAUGGUGCACAGCGCCCGCAAGCACAUCCGGCGCCGCCGCCGCGUCGACGAGUCCCCGCUCAACACGGACAUACUCAAUUCUAUCCUUCUGUAUCUGUUCCCAGAUGCAGCCGUGGAGAAGUCCUCCGAGAACAGCAAGAACAGAACCACCCAGCUGGGCUCCAGUGGGAAGGGCGAGCACAACAAACACUCUGACUAUAACCUGUUCCUGCAGCUGAAGUCGGCCCCCAGCGACAGCCUGACCUACCGGCUGGCUCUGUGUGCGUGUCUGGUGAACUACAACCAUGGCGGCCUGCGUGCGGUCGCCCAUCUCUGGCAGGAGUUUGUCCUUGAGCUGCGUUACCGCUGGGAGAACAACUACUUCAUCUACGGGCUGGCUGCUGGAGCGCCAGAUCUCCGCUGUUGUCUUCUGCACCAGAAGCUCCAGAUGCUGAACUGCUGCAUCGAGAGGAAGAGGGCGAGAGACGAAGCUCGCAAGGUGCUGGAGGGGAGCCGAGAGCGAGAGCGCCGGGUGUCCGGCGGCCGGCCCGCGGCCAGGGAGGUGUCCCCGGGGAAAUCCUGGGACUCGUGGAGCGACAGCGAGGAGGAGUUCUUCGAGUGCCUGAGCGACCAGGGCGAGAUCGAGGCGGAGAAGGACGGCAGCAAGAGUAAAGCUGAGGGCCGACUUCACCCCCACAACAACGCCACCCUGCUGAACUCCACGGAGCCGCUCUACGUCCCCGUCACGCAGGAACCUGCUCCCAUGACAGAGGACCUGUUAGAGGAGCAGUCCGAGAUUCUGGCCAAACUGGGCACAUCUGCUGAGGGAACCCACCUCCGAGCCCGGAUGCAGAGCGCCUGCCUGCUGUCGGACAUGGAGUCCUUCAAGGCGGCCAACCCCGGCUGUGCCCUGGAGGACUUUGUGCGCUGGUACUCUCCUCGGGAUUACGUGGUGGAGGGGGGCGUGGAUGAGACGGGCAGCCGGGUGGUGAAGGGGGAGCUCAGUCCCAGGAUGAAGAUCCCGGGCAACAUGUGGGUGGAGGCCUGGGAGACGGCCCGGGUCACACCUGCACGCCGCCAGAGGAGGCUGUUUGACGACACCAAGGAGGCCGAGAAGGUUCUCCACUAUCUAGCAGUGCAGAAACCUGCAGACCUGACCCGCAACCUCCUGCCCUGCAUCCUGCACGCUGCUAUCCUCAAGCUGAAGGAGGAAGAGUCAGCGGAAGACAUCCCAUCAGUCAAAAGGAGCAUCCAGCAGGCGACGGGCCAGGCCAGCAAGCUGCUGCACCCCCUCAACCACGACUACAAGAAGAUCGAGGAGUUCAUCAGUCAGCUGAUGGCCAUGGAGACGGCCAUCACCAGAGCUCGCUCCCUCAAGGCCAAGUUUGCCAGUUGUGAGGGCGGAAGGGGCGAGGACACAGAGGAGCUGGAGAAGUUUGUGAGCUCCCUGCUGGAGGAACCUGAGGUGGUGGUGAUGGGCGCUGGCCAGGGGCCGGCCGGCAGCAUCAUCCACAGGCUGUUUGUCAACGCCCAGAGGCUGGCUGACUUCACCAGUGACGAGGUAACUACCAGUAGAGCUACAGCCCUAUCUACCAGUACAGCCCUACCCCUCAGCUGCCCCUCACUAACAUUACAACACACACACAAACACAAUUGAGCAGGUAGGAUUGGGCUCCAGAAGCCUGUAUGCACUACAAGGAAGCAUUUUAUUCGUUUUACUAACAUAUUGCUCCUAUUGUAAUCCUGUUGGGGGUGUUCUAUAUGUACUGUGUGCUCUAGCUGUGUUUAUUUGGCUUUAGUCCGUCUCAGGUCCUGUGUUCCUGUUAUUUAGACAGGAAGUCGUCUGGAUGUUAACACUGAUCACAUUCUGUAGUUCAACCGGUGAGGAGCUCCCCUCAUCGCAGCAGACCUGUGUGUGCUGCUGGUAAACUCUCCUUCCCCUCGGCUGCUCAGUGAAGAGGCUGCAGGCUGACUUGAGACAGCAGCGUUGGCCUCCGCUCUGUGUCCGCUGGCCUUGUUCUGUGGCCCCCUAGUGGUCAGAAGCAAUUAACCUAAGAGACACGCACAGUGUACGAGCGUCACAUGAACCCUGCUGGCUGUUUAUAGAACAUACAAACAUCUAAAGAGUUAAGACAUGUCCUGUAGAACACGCAUAACCAUUCAGGAGGAGGUAUUCAAACAAAUUUUUGAAUACCUCCUCCUUAAAUCGUCCGUCACCUGCAGUUUAGUUACACACACACACACACACACACACACGAAAGCCCAACCCAUCGUAACACGCCUGUCUGCCUCUCCCACUGCCCCCCUGUGCUCUGCUGUGGCAGCAGGGUCUUCUUGGUGACAUGGAGGUGGCCCAGGUCUACUCCCGGGGCCGCCGUGGUCUUGCUGCUCCGGCUGUUUGAUCUCCUGUCGUUCCAGCUCAGCUGCUUUGUGAAACGGUCCUUCCACAGUAAACAGAAGGACACGGAACCAAAUCCCCCAAAGCCAAUUGGGCCUCAUGCAGCAGCACGCUCUCAUCUCUUCUCUGGAGCUCGUUUGAGUCGGCUCUAGAUGCACCGAGCGUUCUCCCCCGUCUCACCUACCAGACGGCCCUUCUGGCUCCACUGGACGAAGACUUGGGCCGCGACAGGAAGCCGGCUGCAGGAAGCAGUAAAGCGGCCGACUUCCCUCCUC
This is an RNA transcript of Pseudoliparis swirei, 3831 nucleotides long. It is a transcript of the gene named RAB3 GTPase activating protein subunit 1, with no coding region annotated. Lineage: Eukaryota; Metazoa; Chordata; Actinopteri; Perciformes; Liparidae. The record is from RefSeq and is a predicted model, not a curated record. The transcript is spliced from 25 exons.